GGUGAGGUGUCCGAGCGGCUUAAGGAGCACGCCUGGAAAGUGUGUAUAUGCGAAUGUAUAUCGAGGGUUCGAAUCCCUCCCUCACCGCCA
RNAcentral lists this transfer RNA (90 nucleotides) under secondary endosymbiont of Ctenarytaina eucalypti. RNAcentral's name for it is "tRNA-Ser (GGA) (tRNA-Ser-GGA-1-1)". It matches the Rfam family "tRNA". From Rfam's summary of the family: Transfer RNA (tRNA) molecules are approximately 80 nucleotides in length. Their secondary structure includes four short double-helical elements and three loops (D, anti-codon, and T loops). Further hydrogen bonds mediate the characteristic L-shaped molecular structure. tRNAs have two regions of fundamental functional importance: the anti-codon, which is responsible for specific mRNA codon recognition, and the 3' end, to which the tRNAs corresponding amino acid is attached (by aminoacyl-tRNA synthetases). tRNAs cope with the degeneracy of the genetic code in two manners: having more than one tRNA (with a specific anti-codon) for a particular amino acid; and 'wobble' base-pairing, i.e. permitting non-standard base-pairing at the 3rd anti-codon position. The record is from RNAcentral. Lineage: Bacteria; Pseudomonadati; Pseudomonadota; Gammaproteobacteria; Enterobacterales; Enterobacteriaceae.